This 406-nucleotide ribosomal RNA is filed under the name uncultured bacterium. RNAcentral's name for it is "partial 16S ribosomal RNA". It matches the Rfam family "Bacterial small subunit ribosomal RNA", at positions 30 to 526 of the family's 1533-position model. The record is from RNAcentral.
AUUGAACGCUGGCGGCAGGCCUAACACAUGCAAGUCGAGCGAGCGGCGGACGGGUGAGUAAUGUAUGGGGAUCUGCCUGAUAGAGGGGGAUAACUACUGGAAACGGUGGCUAAUACCGCAUACCAUCGGAUGAACCCAUAUGGGAUUAGCUAGUAGGUGGGGUAAAGGCUCACCUGGGCGACGAUCCCUAGCUGGUCUGAGAGGAUGAUCAGCCACACUGGAACUGAGACACGGCCCAGACUCCUACGGGAGGCAGCAGUGGGGAAUAUUGCACAAUGGGCGCAAGCCUGAUGCAGCCAUGCCGCGUGUAUGAAGAAGGCCUUAGGGUUGUAAAGUACUUUCAGCGGGGAGGCGUUACUCGCAGAAGAAGCACCGGCUAACUCCGUGCCAGCCGCCGCGGUAAUUC